Molecule: ribosomal RNA, 112 nt
Filed under: Castor canadensis (American beaver)
Lineage: Eukaryota; Metazoa; Chordata; Mammalia; Rodentia; Castoridae
Source: RNAcentral
GUCUAUGGCCAUACUACCCUGAAUGUGUCCAAUCUUGUCUGAUAUCAGAAGCUAAGCAUGGUUGGGCCUGGUUAGUACUUGGGUGGGAGAAAAUACUUUGAGAUGAAUGACA